RNAcentral lists this long non-coding RNA (1033 nucleotides) under Homo sapiens (human). RNAcentral's name for it is "non-protein coding lnc-ARID2-5:1". Lineage: Eukaryota; Metazoa; Chordata; Mammalia; Primates; Hominidae. The record is from RNAcentral.
GGUGGGGCUGAAAGUCCCAACCCUCUAACCCUGCCUUUGUCUUUCCAGUGGCCAGGCCCCAUCCUGAAUCUACCUAAUUUUUAUUGGUCUAAUAUAAUUUACUGGUCUAACACUGGGUUUUUAAACAGAGAUGUUAAAAGAGGACACCUCAGCCUCCCACAAAAAGCAUAUGUUAGAAAAACUGUUGUAGGGAACAUGCAUCCUUAACAAAAAAGUUUCCUCUUCUUUCCCAUUUUCACUGUGAUUUUUAGAAGACACAAUAGUUCCUAACUUUCUAGCUGGUACUAUUACAACUUAAUUUUGACUUCCUUAAAAUAAGGACUUUCAGCUAUUCAAAAAGGUCAGUUUAAUUGUUAAAAUUUCAAUUAUUCUCUUGACCAUACAUAAAGAAGGCAUGCAAGGAAAUAGCUAUUUUCCUUGUUGCUUUUGUUAUGCUUAGAACUUUCAAAUUAUAAUAUUUUUGUUUGUCUGGAAACAUUUUUAUUUCACUAUCAUUUUUGAAAGAUGGUUUUGCUGGGUACAGAAUUCUAAGUUGGAAGUUAUUUUCUGUUAGUAUUAAUAUUUUGGAGAUCCUUCACUAUCUUCUGGUUUCUAUUGCUGCAGUUGAAAAGUCUGCUGUUAGUCUAAGCACCCCAUAAUACAAGCCAAUCAUUGAACACAAAAUAGUACUUUAGUAAAAGCAGCUCUAUUUGAGAUUAACAUAUCCUGAUUGGUUGCUUUAUAGACAGAAACAGGCUGAAGAAAGCAGAAACAGAGAACAAAAAGCAGAUUGGUUGUUUCAAAGUUACUUUUCUUAUAGGGUUAAAAUAGAGGGAACUUCUUUAGCAUGGCAAAUCAAGUAAACCAGGCCCGUUUUGAUUGGUUGCUAUGAAUUUCCUGUUUUUUAUUUUUACUUUUUAUUUAUUUAUUUAUUUUGAAAAACUGGCCUGUUUUAGAGUUCAGUUUGAUUAUGUGGCACCUAGCAUGAUUGACUCCAUUAUAGUUUGGUCUGGUCUACUGGGGCGCAGUGUAGGAGGCUAGUCCAAAACAAUGU